This 253-nucleotide ribosomal RNA is filed under the name uncultured bacterium. RNAcentral's name for it is "partial 16S ribosomal RNA". It matches the Rfam family "Bacterial small subunit ribosomal RNA", at positions 524 to 776 of the family's 1533-position model. The record is from RNAcentral.
UACGAAGGGGGCUAGCGUUGCUCGGAAUUACUGGGCGUAAAGCGCACGUAGGCGGAUUGUUAAGUCGGGGGUGAAAUCCUGGAGCUCAACUCCAGAACUGCCUUCGAUACUGGCGAUCUCGAGUUCGGGAGAGGUGAGUGGAACUGCGAGUGUAGAGGUGAAAUUCGUAGAUAUUCGCAAGAACACCAGUGGCGAAGGCGGCUCACUGGCCCGAUACUGACGCUGAGGUGCGAAAGCUAGGGGAGCAAACGGG